RNAcentral lists this ribosomal RNA (468 nucleotides) under uncultured bacterium. RNAcentral describes it as "partial 16S ribosomal RNA". It matches the Rfam family "Bacterial small subunit ribosomal RNA", at positions 28 to 507 of the family's 1533-position model. The record is from RNAcentral.
GACGAACGCUGGCGGCGUGCUUAACACAUGCAAGUCGAACGGAAAGGCGCUGUUUUUGUGGUGUGCUCGAGUGGCGAACGGGUGUGUGAAACGUGAGUAUCAUGCGCUUGUGAUUGUGAUAACUUCAGGAGACUGGGGGUCAUAUCGGGUAGGAGCUACUGCUGCACGGGGGGGGUUGGAAAGAUUACGGGGCUGGGGAUGGAAUUCGGGACUGUCUGCUUGUUGGUGGGGAGGUGGCUUACCAAGGCUUUGACUGGUAGCCGGCCUGAGAGGGUGACCGGCCACAUUGGGACUGAGAUACGGCCCAGACUCCUACGGGAGGCAGCAGUGGGGAAUAUUGCACAAUGGGCGGAAGCCUGAUGCAGCAACGCCGCGUGCGGGAUGACGGCCUUCGGGUUGUAAACCGCUUUCGCCUGUGAAGAAGCGAGAGUGACGGUAAGGGGUAAAGAAGCACCGGCUAACUACGUG